UAGGGAAUCUUCGGCAAUGGGGGGAACCCUGACCGAGCAACGCCGCGUGAGUGAAGAAGGUUUUCGGAUCGUAAAGCUCUGUUGUUAAGGAAGAACGAGUGUGAGAAUGGAAAGUUCAUACUGUGACGGUACUUAACCAGAAAGGGACGGCUAACUACGUGCCAGCAGCCGCGGUAAUACGUAGGUCCCGAGCGUUGUCCGGAUUUAUUGGGCGUAAAGCGAGCGCAGGCGGUUAGAUAAGUCUGAAGUUAAAGGCAGUGGCUCAACCAUUGUAGGCUUUGGAAACUGUUUAACUUGAGUGCAGAAGGGGAGAGUGGAAUUCCGUGUGUAGCGGUGAAAUGCGUAGAUAUAUGGAGGAACACCGGUGGCGAAAGCGGCUCUCUGGUCUGUAACUGACGCUGAGGCUCGAAAGCGUGGGGAGCGAACAGG
This 429-nucleotide ribosomal RNA is filed under the name Bacteroidota bacterium. RNAcentral describes it as "Bacteroidetes bacterium partial 16S ribosomal RNA". It matches the Rfam family "Bacterial small subunit ribosomal RNA", at positions 355 to 776 of the family's 1533-position model. The record is from RNAcentral. Lineage: Bacteria; Pseudomonadati; Bacteroidota.